CCUACGGGUGGCAGCAGUGAGGAAUAUUGGUCAAUGGGCGCGAGCCUGAACCAGCCAAGUCGCGUGAAGGAUGAAUGAUCUAUGGGUUGUAAACCUCUUUUAUAAAGGAAUAAAGUGCGGGACGCGUCCCUCUUCGCAUGUACUUUAUGAAUAAGGAUCGGCUAACUCCGUGCCAGCAGCCGCGGUAAUACGGAGGAUCCGAGCGUUAUCCGGAUUUAUUGGGUUUAAAGGGUGCGUAGAUGGGUUGUUAAGUCAGCGGUGAAAGUCUGCGGCUCAACCGUAGAAUUGCAGUUGAUACUGGCGGCCUGGAGUACAGUUGAGGUAGGCGGAAUGCGUGGUGUAGCGGUGAAAUGCUUAGAUAUCACGAAGAACGCCGAUUGCGAAGGCAGCCUGCUAAGCUGCCACUGACGUUGAUGCACGAAAGUGUGGGGAUCGAACAGGAUUAGAUACCCGGGUAGUC
Molecule: ribosomal RNA, 460 nt
Filed under: uncultured bacterium
Lineage: Bacteria
Description: partial 16S ribosomal RNA
Rfam family: Bacterial small subunit ribosomal RNA
Source: RNAcentral